UUCUGGCUCAGGAUGAACGCUGGCGGCGUGCUUAACACAUGCAAGUCGAACGGAGUACAUCAACCGAGACCUUCGGGUCUCAUCUGUUGUACUUAGUGGCGGACGGGUGAGUAACGCGUGAGCAACCAACCUUAUGCAGAGGGAUAACAAUUAGAAAUGAUUGCUAAUACCGCAUAAGACCACAGCACCGCAUGAUGCAGUGGGAAAAACUCCGGUGGCAUAAGACGGGCUCGCGUUCGAUUAGCUAGUUGGUGGGGUAACGGCUCACCAAGGCAACGAUCGAUAGCCGGACUGUGAGGUCGACCGGCCACAUUGGGACUGAGACACGGUCCAGACUCCUACGGGAGGCAGCAGUGGGGAAUAUUGCACAAUGGGGGAAACCCUGAUGCCAGCGACGCCGCGUGAGUGAUGAAGUAUUUCGGUAUGUAAAGCUCUUUUAGUAGGGAAGAAGAUGACGGUACCUACAGAAACAGCCCCGGCUAACUACGUGCCAGCCGCAGC
RNAcentral lists this ribosomal RNA (501 nucleotides) under uncultured bacterium. Its description in RNAcentral is "bacterial SSU rRNA". It matches the Rfam family "Bacterial small subunit ribosomal RNA", at positions 17 to 518 of the family's 1533-position model. The record is from RNAcentral.